UCUCGACCAAAAAAAAAUCCACGCGGCCUGUGCCUCGCCGGCGUCUCCUCUCACUGGCCCGCCGCCUAUGUGUCUGCCCACGAGGCCUGCGCCUCGCCCACGCCGCCCUCAGGGGCGGAGGAACGGCCUCCGCGCCCGGCGUGCGGGCCAGCCGCCGUGCGGCGCAGGCAGCUGCCCUCAGGGGCGGGGGAACGGCCUCCGCGCCCGGCGUGCGGGACGGCCGCCGUGCGGCGCGGGCGGCUCAAGGGGCUACGCCCAGGACGUGCGGCACGAGCAGCGGAAGGGGCUACGCGGCCGCCGUGCGCCGCGACUUGCGCAGUCGCCAUGCGCCGCGGCACACGGACGGCAGGGGCGGGUGAAGGGGCUCCGGCGUGCGGCGCCCCCUCCACGGCCGGCGUGCCGCGCGGCGUCGGCCCACGGCUCGAUAACCGGCCACCGACGGCGUCGCGGACAGGGAAGGGGCUCCGCACCCUCCAACGAUUGGACGACUUGCUCCAGAUUGGGCGGGGGGCGCGGCUGGCCGCGGGGCAAGCGCAGCUCGGGGCAGCGGCGAGCGCACGCGAGCCGAAUCCGCGGCGACUCGCACCACCCGGCCGGUUUCAGCGCCGUCCCCAACGUCCCACUCCUCACCAACGGCCAGAUGGUCGACAACAUCCUGGCGGAGCAGCAUGCGCUCAUGCCGUCCUACAUGGGCGGCUGCGGCGGCGGAGGCAAGAGGAUCCAUCCACUCCCCUUCGCAGAUCCAAGCCUUCCAGUGCAACCGAGAUCCAUGGACCCGUGGAGCGUGGCUUAGGGCGACCUGGAUGGAGUGCUGGAAGAAGAACCAGGUGCGCCAGCAGCACGACAGGAGCGAGGGCGGCUGUGAUUAGGACGGCGACGAUGGUCGAUGCUGAUCUGGCGCUGUCUCACCUAAAGUAAUAGGCCUCCUCUCCCGUCUGACUGGAGCAUGCUGAGGACAAUGGCCUCUCCCUCAAGACCACUUGCUCCUUUGCAAAUGACGCCGAGGCGGAAAAUAUGUGUCACUCCUGUAUGUUGAUCUGACGAUGAGUCACUUUGGUAACAGCAGCCUGGUGAGAUGAACUAAUAUCAACGCCCCGUUCGGCGGGGUGGGAACGAACCCCAGCCGCAGCUGGUUCUUGCAUGUUGUGGCUGGUCUGGAUCGGUGGAUAAGCAGGUUCGGUGGACCAGCACAGGCCAGAUUUUUUCAAUUCAACAUGAAGUGGGGAUGGGUUAUCAUUUUCAAAUGGCACUAUCAGGGCUGGAAGUACAUUGGUGUUGGUCAGCUCUCCAUCGCAAGAAAAAACAUGCAGAGGGCUUUGUAACCAUGAAUUGUUGAGAAUCAGAGGUUGGCUUCAAUCUUCGACUUCCUCCAACUGAGAGCAUGGGAUUGCAUUAGCCUAUCAUGUCCUGAACUCCUAAUACCAAUUUUCAAGCUCUGAUUAGCUUCCAAAAAGUAGGGGAAACGACAGCCUUGAGCCUGUCCUUCUGAGAUGGUUUAUGUUUUUUGUCUAGCAUUUCUUAAGAUGAUACAUCAAAAUUAUAUGUAUGACAUGGUUUGAUGACAGUUCAUUUUGGAUUAUGCA
Panicum virgatum (switchgrass) is the source of this 1583-nucleotide RNA transcript. RefSeq lists it as uncharacterized. NCBI's taxonomy places the organism in Eukaryota, Viridiplantae, Streptophyta, Magnoliopsida, Poales, Poaceae. The transcript has 7 exons. The record is from RefSeq and is a predicted model, not a curated record.